GAGCUUGCUCUCGGGUGACGAGUGGCGGACGGGUGAGUAAUGUCUGGGAAACUGCCUGAUGGAGGGGGAUAACUACUGGAAACGGUAGCUAAUACCGCAUAACGUCGCAAGACCAAAGAGGGGGACCUUCGGGCCUCUUGCCAUCAGAUGUGCCCAGAUGGGAUUAGCUAGUAGGUGGGGUAAUGGCUCACCUAGGCGACGAUCCCUAGCUGGUCUGAGAGGAUGACCAGCCACACUGGAACUGAGACACGGUCCAGACUCCUACGGGAGGCAGCAGUGGGGAAUAUUGCACAAUGGGCGCAAGCCUGAUGCAGCCAUGCCGCGUGUAUGAAGAAGGCCUUCGGGUUGUAAAGUACUUUCAGCGGGGAGGAAGGUGUUGUGGUUAAUAACCGCAGCAAUUGACGUUACCCGCAGAAGAAGCACCGGCUAACUCCGUGCCAGCAGCCGCGGUAAUACGGAGGGUGCAAGCGUUAAUCGGAAUUACUGGGCGUAAAGCGCACGCAGGCGGUCUGUCAAGUCGGAUGUGAAAUCCCCGGGCUCAACCUGGGAACUGCAUUCGAAACUGGCAGGCUAGAGUCUUGUAGAGGGGGGUAGAAUUCCAGGUGUAGCGGUGAAAUGCGUAGAGAUCUGGAGGAAUACCGGUGGCGA
This 648-nucleotide ribosomal RNA is filed under the name uncultured Gammaproteobacteria bacterium. RNAcentral describes it as "bacterial SSU rRNA". It matches the Rfam family "Bacterial small subunit ribosomal RNA", at positions 76 to 718 of the family's 1533-position model. Lineage: Bacteria; Pseudomonadati; Pseudomonadota; Gammaproteobacteria. The record is from RNAcentral.